UACGUAGGGAGCGAGCGUUAUCCGGAAUGACUGGGCGUAAAGCGUGCGUAGGCGGGGUAUUAAGUCAAGUGUGAAAUCCCCCAGCUCAACUCGGGACGUUCAUUUGAAACUGGAAUGCUAGAGUACUAGAGAGGGUAGUGGAAUUGAUGGUGUAGCAGUGAAAUCCGUAGAUAUCAUCAGGAACACCGGAGGCGAAGGCGACCACCUGGGUGGUCACUGACGCUGAGGCACGAAAGCGUGGGGAGCAAACAGG
Molecule: ribosomal RNA, 253 nt
Filed under: uncultured bacterium
Lineage: Bacteria
Description: partial 16S ribosomal RNA
Rfam family: Bacterial small subunit ribosomal RNA
Source: RNAcentral